AUUGGCUCCAUUAACAGAUGCCGACUCCCCAUUAAUAAAUUGAACCUCCUCCUCCACCACCUCGAUCUCCGAUGACAUUUUCUUGUAUAAGAAAUUGAGAAUACAGAAAAGUGAAAAGGAAUUAGGAAUGAUUUGAUGAGAUAAAUUGAAAUUGGAAUUCAAUUGGUAAGAGAAUAAGAUGCCCUGGGGUUUUUCUUGGAAGAAGAGGAAGAUAGCGAGAGAGAGAGAGAGAGA
RNAcentral lists this unclassified non-coding RNA (234 nucleotides) under Hevea brasiliensis (rubber tree). Lineage: Eukaryota; Viridiplantae; Streptophyta; Magnoliopsida; Malpighiales; Euphorbiaceae. The record is from RNAcentral.